AGCGAACGCUGGCGGCAUGCUUAACACACGCAAGUCGAACGAUGGCUUCGGCCAUAGUGGCGCACGGGUGAGUAACGCGUGGGAACCUGCCCUUCGGUACGGAAUAACGCCGGGAAACUGACGCUAAUACCGUAUACGGUCUUCGGACGAAAGAUUUAUCGCCGAAGGAGGGGCCCGCGUCCGAUUAGGUAGUUGGUGAGGUGACGGCUCACCAAGCCUGCGAUCGGUAGCUGGUCUGAGAGGAUGAUCAGCCACACUGGGACUGAGACACGGCCCAGACUCCUACGGGAGGCAGCAGUGGGGAAUAUCGGACAAUGGGGGAAACCCUGAUCCAGCAAUGCCGCGUGAGUGAAGAAGGCCUUCGGGUUGUAAAGCUCUUUUGUCCGGGACGAUGAUGACGGUACCGGAAGAAUAAGCCCCGGCUAACUUCGUGCCAGCAGCCGCGGUAA
RNAcentral lists this ribosomal RNA (449 nucleotides) under uncultured bacterium. RNAcentral describes it as "partial 16S ribosomal RNA". It matches the Rfam family "Bacterial small subunit ribosomal RNA", at positions 29 to 523 of the family's 1533-position model. The record is from RNAcentral.